GUCCUCAUAUGACCCGUCUCUGGCCCAGGCUUGGUGGCGGUGUUUGACUACCACAGGAAGAAGGGCUACGCUGACCUGUACAGCCUACACAGCUGGUGCGGGAUCCUUGUCUUUGUCCUGUACUUUGUGCAGUGGCUGGUGGGCUUCAGCUUCUUCCUGUUCCCCGGAGCUUCAUUCUCCCUGCGGAGCCGCUACCGCCCACAGCACAUCUUCUUUGGUGCUACCAUCUUCCUCCUUUCCGUGGGCACCGCCCUGCUGGGCCUGAAGGAGGCACUGCUGUUCAACCUCGG
RNAcentral lists this long non-coding RNA (290 nucleotides) under Pan troglodytes (chimpanzee). RNAcentral describes it as "long non-coding RNA NONPTRT007296". The record is from RNAcentral. Lineage: Eukaryota; Metazoa; Chordata; Mammalia; Primates; Hominidae.